UACGUUCCCGGGUCUUGUACACACCGCCCGUCACACCACGAGAGUUUACAACACCCGAAGUCGGUGGGGUAACCCGCAAGGGGGCCAGCCGCCGAAGGUGGGGUAGAUGAUUGGGGUG
This 118-nucleotide ribosomal RNA is filed under the name uncultured bacterium. Its description in RNAcentral is "partial 16S ribosomal RNA". It matches the Rfam family "Bacterial small subunit ribosomal RNA", at positions 1367 to 1482 of the family's 1533-position model. The record is from RNAcentral.